AUUGAACGCUGGCGGAAUGCUUUACACAUGCAAGUCGAACGACAGCACGGACUUCGGUCUGGUGGCGAGUGGCGAACGGGUGAGUAAUGUAUCGGAACGUGCCCAGUCGUGGGGGAUAACGUAGUGAAAAUUACGCUAAUACCGCAUACGAUCUAUGGAUGAAAGCGGGGGAUCGCAAGACCUAGCGCGAUUGGAGCGGCCGAUAUCAGAUUAGGUAGUUGGUGGGGUAAAGGCCCACCAAGCCAACGAUCUGUAGCUGGUCUGAGAGGACGACCAGCCACACUGGAACUGAGACACGGUCCAGACUCCUACGGGAGGCAGCAGUGGGGAAUUUUGGACAAUGGGCGAAAGCCUGAUCCAGCCAUUCCGCGUGCAGGAUGAAGGCCCUCGGGUUGUAAACUGCUUUUGUACAGAACGAAAAGGUUUCUACUAGUACUAGGAGCUCAUGACGGUACUGUAAGAAUAAGCACCGGCUAACUACGUGCCAGCAGCCGCCGUAA
This 500-nucleotide ribosomal RNA is filed under the name uncultured bacterium. RNAcentral's name for it is "partial 16S ribosomal RNA". It matches the Rfam family "Bacterial small subunit ribosomal RNA", at positions 30 to 523 of the family's 1533-position model. The record is from RNAcentral.